CUUCUGGCGAAAAGAACACAGACGCUUUGUCACAGCCAGGCCAGUUCAUGAAUGGUGUAAUUUAUUAAAGAUCAGACGCGCAUUUCGUGACAGCGUGAAUUGCGAAAGCCAUUGCGUGUCCUUUCUACUUGUGGCUUAUUACCUGCACCAGACACUAACAGAAAGGGUUCAAGCUGCAACGUUUUCUUAACGUGUUUAUUGCUAGCCUAGCUUGCAUUGUUCAACGUUAGUGAAAUCUAUUUCGUCGGGGUACAGCUGGUAAAAUCAUGAAGUUGGAAUUCUUGUUAUUACUGGUUUUUGUUAGUUCUAUUCAUGCACAAGGAACAG
Molecule: non-coding RNA, 327 nt
Organism: Paramuricea clavata
Lineage: Eukaryota; Metazoa; Cnidaria; Anthozoa; Malacalcyonacea; Plexauridae
Source: the annotation of a GenBank genome assembly